GAGAGAGAGAAAUCGAGGGAGAGAGAGUGGGAGGGGGAGUAAGAGAGAGAAUUUGUCUGGCAUCUGGGAUUGUUAUGCUGUGCAGUCAUGGAUUCCUUUUUUACUGAACCCUUUGGUUGUAGCCAUGGAUCGACCAGAGGGAGCCCUCAAAACUGGAUGUGCACAAAGUCAACUCAGGUUUCUUCUGUCAGGAUUCCAAGUCUGAGGCCAGGAGUCAAUCAGUGUGUGAGUUGGAGGGGGCGUGGCGUCAACUCCUGGGUGUCUCGUCCCUGCUAGAUUGUUAAGUCGUACCUUGAUUCCGCAUCUCUGAACUCUUACCUGGAUUUUGCUUCUACAACCGGAUGAGCUACCACGCCCUAACCUGCAUUCACCUUCCUGUCUACCUGGACACCUGCAACCAUCUGCACGCCAUUCUCCCUGCCAGCACUCCGUCCAUACUCACCUCAUACGCUUUUCUGUUUGACCAUUAAACCACCCUUCACUGUCACUUCUCGUCCUUGUCUGCUUUUGGGUUCCUCUCAGGCCCUGACAACAAUGAAUGUCAGAGCAAAAACCAGUGGAAAAAGCUUUGACAUACAGUUGUGUCGAGGCGUAGAUCUUGAGAAGGUUAAUAAAAAAUUGCUACAGCAUUGAAUGUUCACAGGAACACAGUGGGCUCCAUCAUUGUAAAAUGGAAGAGGUUUGGAACCACCAAGACUCUUCCUAGACCUUGUUGUCUGGCCAAACUAAGGGUGUUGACCAUGAACCCAUUGGCUACUCUAACAGAGCUUCUGAGUUUCUCUGCAGAGAUGCGAGGACCUUCGAGAAUAACAACCGUCUCUGUAACACUCCCUCAAUCAAGACUUUAUGGUUAAGUGGCUGGUCGGAAGCCACAUCUGACUAAAAGGCAUAUGUCAUGAGGACAAAGAUUCUCUGGUCUGAUGAGGCCAAAAUCUAAUUAUUAGGUCUGAAUCUGUAAAUGGCAUCCAAUAUCUAUUUCCAUGCACAUUCUCUAGCAAGAAUGACUGCAGUAAAAC
This is a long non-coding RNA of Esox lucius (northern pike), 1016 nucleotides long. Lineage: Eukaryota; Metazoa; Chordata; Actinopteri; Esociformes; Esocidae. The record is from Ensembl.